ACAAAGGGUUGUUGGUCUCUACAAAAUGCAAGGAACCUGUCUUUAAUCUCCAAAUGGAGUAAAGCAGCUUACCUACCAGAAAUCCCUACACUGAGAUGCCAUUUAAGUGACUUUUUUUUUUUUUUACAAAGAUACACUUUGUAAGGCUGCUGAAAUUUUGGAACUGGUGUGUUAUAGCUGCUUGUAUUACUCUCCCAUGCAUAAGAAAGAACAUUCAAUUCACUUAACGCCACUCCACAAGUCUUUCUACUCUCAUCUGUACCCAGGGGAAAACAAAUUCCAGUGCAUUAGGGCAUUUGGAUGGCAGCACAUCACAGCUGAGGGAGCGCCUAGGCUUGGCUCUGUUUCCAACAGCCCUGUGACCCUGGGCCCAUGGCCACACCCCUUUGGGGGACCCUGGGUUCAACUGCUAAAAUGCAAAAAUUAGACAUUACUUAAAAAUCUUCUUGCCCUCCAAACACUUUAUUUUCAUCUUUUCAUUAUCUCACAUUUUUUUCUUUUCCUUUAUUACCCUUCCCCUACCCAUCCCACCUUCCCAACACCUUUAGCAGGGAUAAGGGGAAAAAAUGAGAAUCAAGACUUGUCAUGUAGAGGUACAAGAUCCCAACAAUGAAUGUAACUGUACUGCA
Molecule: long non-coding RNA, 629 nt
Filed under: Fukomys damarensis (Damara mole-rat)
Lineage: Eukaryota; Metazoa; Chordata; Mammalia; Rodentia; Bathyergidae
Description: lncRNA (ENSFDAG00000028679.1)
Source: RNAcentral